RNAcentral lists this ribosomal RNA (497 nucleotides) under uncultured bacterium. RNAcentral's name for it is "partial 16S ribosomal RNA". It matches the Rfam family "Bacterial small subunit ribosomal RNA", at positions 28 to 507 of the family's 1533-position model. The record is from RNAcentral.
GAUGAACGCUGGCGGCGUGCCUAAUACAUGCAAGUCGAGCGAACAGACGAGGAGCUUGCUCCUCUGACGUUAGCGGCGGACGGGUGAGUAACACGUGGAUAACCUACCUAUAAGACUGGGAUAACUUCGGGAAACCGGAGCUAAUACCGGAUAAUAUAUUGAACCGCAUGGUUCAAUAGUGAAAGACGGUUUUGCUGUCACUUAUAGAUGGAUCCGCGCUGCAUUAGCUAGUUGGUAAGGUAACGGCUUACCAAGGCAACGAUGCGUAGCCGACCUGAGAGGGUGAUAGGCCACACUGGAACUGAGACACGGUCCAGACUCCUACGGGAGGCAGCAGUAGGGAAUCUUCCGCAAUGGGCGAAAGCCUGACGGAGCAACGCCGCGUGAGUGAUGAAGGUCUUCGGAUCGUAAAACUCUGUUAUUAGGGAAGAACAGAUGUGUAAGUAACUAUGCACAUCUUGACGGUACCUAAUCAGAAAGCCACGGCUAACUACGUG